UAGCUUGAUCCUGGCUCAGGAUGAACGCUAGCGGCAGGCUUAAUACAUGCAAGUCGAGGGGCAGCAUAAGUGUAGCAAUACAUUUGAUGGCGACCGGCAAACGGGUGCGGAACACGUACACAACCUUCCUUUAAGCGGGGAAUAGCCCAGAGAAAUUUGGAUUAAUACCCCAUAGUAUAUUGACCAGGCAUCUGGUUAAUAUUAAAGAUUUAUCACUUGAAGAUGGGUGUGCGGCUGAUUAGAUAGUUGGCGGGGUAACGGCCCACCAAGUCUACGAUCAGUAACUGGUGUGAGAGCACGACCAGUCACACGGGCACUGAGACACGGGCCCGACUCCUACGGGAGGCAGCAGUAAGGAAUAUUGGUCAAUGGACGCAAGUCUGAACCAGCCAUGCCGCGUGGAGGAUGAAGGUCCUCUGGAUUGUAAACUUCUUUUAUAUGGGACGAAAAAGGAUCUUUCCAGAUCAACUGACGGUACCAUAUGAAUAAGCACCGGCUAACUCCGUGCCAGCAGCCGCGGUAAUACGGAGGGUGCAAGCGUUAUCCGGAUUCACUGGGUUUAAAGGGUGCGUAGGUGGGUUGGUAAGUCAGUGGUGAAAUCUCCGAGCUUAACUUGGACACUGCCAUUGAUACUAUCAGUCUUGAAUACUGUGGAGGUUAGCGGAAUAUGUCAUGUAGCGGUGAAAUGCUUAGAUAUGACAUAGAAACACCAUUGCGAAGGCGGCUGGCUACACAAAUAUUGA
RNAcentral lists this ribosomal RNA (743 nucleotides) under uncultured bacterium. Its description in RNAcentral is "bacterial SSU rRNA". It matches the Rfam family "Bacterial small subunit ribosomal RNA", at positions 9 to 743 of the family's 1533-position model. The record is from RNAcentral.